GAUGAACGCUGACAGAAUGCUUAACACAUCAGCAAUUGAUUGGUGGCGGACGCGUGAGUAACGCGUAAGGAUCUUGCCUCACCUCUAGGGACAGAAUUUGUAAACGAAUGCUAAUACCUAAUACUUUGGGAGAGCGUUGCGUACCAGUAGCUAGUGGGAGAGGUAACGGCUCACCAAGGCGAGGAUGGGUAUCCCGCCUGGGAGGGUGAUCGGCCACAAGGGGUCUGGGACACGGCCCUUACGCCUACGGGAGGCAUCAGUGAGGAAUAUUGGACAAUGGGCCAAAGUCUGAUCAAGCAAUUCGGUGGGAACGAUGAAUUUUUCGGAAUGAAAAGUUCUUUCAGUUGGGAAGCGGUACCAACAGAAGAAGUGACGGCUAAAUACGUGCCAGCCGCCGCGGUAAUUC
RNAcentral lists this ribosomal RNA (406 nucleotides) under uncultured bacterium. RNAcentral describes it as "partial 16S ribosomal RNA". It matches the Rfam family "Bacterial small subunit ribosomal RNA", at positions 28 to 526 of the family's 1533-position model. The record is from RNAcentral.